RNAcentral lists this ribosomal RNA (409 nucleotides) under Planctomycetaceae bacterium. RNAcentral's name for it is "bacterial SSU rRNA". It matches the Rfam family "Bacterial small subunit ribosomal RNA", at positions 1 to 406 of the family's 1533-position model. The record is from RNAcentral. Lineage: Bacteria; Pseudomonadati; Planctomycetota; Planctomycetia; Planctomycetales; Planctomycetaceae.
ACUUGAAGGGUUUGAUCCUGGCUCAGAAUGAACGUUGGCGGCGUGGAUUAGGCAUGCAAGUCGAGCGAGAAUCUGUGAGUGGCGACUUCGGUCAAAGCGAUCAGAGGACAGCGGCAAACGGGGUAGUAAGGCAUAGGUUACGUACCUCCAAGACCGGGAUAGCCACGGGAAACUGUGAGUAAUACCGGAUAAUCUCUUCGGAGCAAAUGGUGUGAUUCCGCUUGGAGAGCGGCUUAUGUGAUACUAGGUUGUUGGUGGGGUAAUGGCCUACCAAGCCUAAGAUGUCUAGGGGGUGUGAGAGCAUGGCCCCCACCACUGGGACUGAGACACAGCCCAGACACCUACGGGUGGCUGCAGUCGAGAAUCUUCCACAAUGGGCGAAAGCCUGAUGGAGCGACGCCGCGUGCGG